RNAcentral lists this ribosomal RNA (191 nucleotides) under uncultured marine eukaryote. RNAcentral's name for it is "partial 18S ribosomal RNA". It matches the Rfam family "Eukaryotic small subunit ribosomal RNA", at positions 1 to 194 of the family's 1831-position model. The record is from RNAcentral.
AACCUGGUUGAUCCUGCCAGUAGUCAUAUGCUUGUCUCAAAGAUUAAGCCAUGCAUGUCUAAGUAUAAGCUGAUUAUACUGUGAAACUGCGAAUGGCUCAUUAAAUCAGUUAUAGUUUAUUUGAUGGUACUACUACUCGGAUAACCGUAGUAAUUCUAGAGCUAAUACGUGCGCAACUCCCGACUUCUGGA